AGUCACUGACAUUAGAUACCCGCGUAGUCCAGGGUGUAAACGCUGCAGACUUGGUGUUGGGAACCCUUCGGGGGUGCUCAGUGCCGGAGAGAAGUUGUUAAGUCUGCUACUUGGGGAGUACGUCCGCAAGGAUGAAAACUUUAAGGAAUUGGGCGGGGGAGCACCGCAACGGGAGGAGCGUGCGGUUUAAUUGGAUUCAACGACCGAAAAACUCACCAGCAGCGACUGUUACAUGAAAGUCAGGUUGAUGACCUUACUAGAUUUUCAG
This 268-nucleotide ribosomal RNA is filed under the name uncultured archaeon. RNAcentral describes it as "partial 16S ribosomal RNA". It matches the Rfam family "Archaeal small subunit ribosomal RNA", at positions 716 to 982 of the family's 1478-position model. The record is from RNAcentral.